RNAcentral lists this long non-coding RNA (283 nucleotides) under Prunus persica (peach). Its description in RNAcentral is "long non-coding RNA (PPER_LNC003754)". Lineage: Eukaryota; Viridiplantae; Streptophyta; Magnoliopsida; Rosales; Rosaceae. The record is from RNAcentral.
UUGAUCUGUCAGUUUAAGCUUACUAAAUCCGCACUUACUCAAGUAUCGGAGAGCCUUCGGCCGGUACCACAGCGGUGCCCUAAGGUCUUACCGAGCGUUCAUUAUCUUGCAAAUCAUUCUCCCCACCGAGGCCCAAAGCAUACCGAAGGCCCAACAUCACGAAGUUGAGUCAGAAAAGGGCCAGAUCAUUUUUUCGCAUCAACACCAAUGAAAGUUUAUAUGAUUUCUGAAUUUUAACUUUAAUUGAGUCCCUUCUUCUUCCUCCAAUGAUAAGUAAAAAAAA